AAGGAUCAUUGUCGAUGCCCCAAUCCAGAGAGACCCGCGAACGCGUUUGGCUACCGGGGACAGUCGAAGCUGCUCAGCGGCUCGCCUUCCCCAAAUGCCGGGACCGAGCCACGCCUUCCGCGGUCUCGUCCCGGCGCAAUAACAACAAACCCCGGCGCGGAACGCGCCAAGGAAGCAACAAUUGUAGAGCGUGCCCCGUCGACCCGGCAACGGUGCUCGCACGGGUGAUGUCGCAGCACUCGAGUCCAAAACGACUCUCGGCAUCGAUGAAGAACGCAGCGAAAUGCGAUACUUGGUGUGAAUUGCAGAAUCCCGUGAACCAUCGAGUCUUUGAACGCAAGUUGCGCCCGAAGCCACCAGGCUAAGGGCACGCCUGCCUGGGUGUCACUAAUCGCUGCCCCAACCCCUGUGCCCGUGGCCACGGAGCGGGGCGAAUGUUGGCUUCCCGCGAGCACCGCCUCGCGGUUGGCUGAAAAUCGGGUUCGUGGUGGGUUCGACGCCGUGACAGAUGGUGGUUGAGCAUGUUCUCGAGGCCAGUCAUGCGUGCGACCUCCACCAGCUCCGUACCCAGUGACCCGCGAGCGACGUCGAUCGCCCAUGACGCGACCUCAGGUCAGGC
This 619-nucleotide unclassified non-coding RNA is filed under the name Dalbergia dongnaiensis. RNAcentral's name for it is "partial contains 18S rRNA, ITS1, 5.8S rRNA and ITS2". The stretch from base 243 to 387 matches the Rfam family "5.8S ribosomal RNA". The record is from RNAcentral. Lineage: Eukaryota; Viridiplantae; Streptophyta; Magnoliopsida; Fabales; Fabaceae.